AAGCACUGGUAUCAACGGUAUUCCAAACAGAGUGAUAGCAAGUCCAAGGCUCCUGAUGAAGAUCUGGUUUAGGGCUAUUUAAGGAACAGAAAGACAAGAAUGGUCAGAAGAAGUCAUAAAAAUCAUUCAUUGGCCAGCCUCUCUGAAGAAUAUUGUGAGAAUGAAUGAAACAAGCUGGGUAAGCCCUUGAAAAAUUUAAAGCAUGCUACAAAAUAAAGUGAAUUAUUAGAACCAGCAUACUAUGAGGAAAAACUACUACCCUCCAUAGUGUAUCUUUAGGAAAGGUUAGAAUUAUAGUUUCUUUCAUCCACAUAUCUCAAAACAUUAUACUUAGAGCUAGAGAGAAUAGUCCAACCUAUUCAUCUUCUAGAUCAGA
Callorhinus ursinus (northern fur seal) is the source of this 376-nucleotide non-coding RNA. NCBI's taxonomy places the organism in Eukaryota, Metazoa, Chordata, Mammalia, Carnivora, Otariidae. The record is from RefSeq and is a predicted model, not a curated record.